GAGCGGCGAACGGGUGAGUAACACGUGAGCAACCUACCCUUCACUUCGGGAUAAGCCUCGGAAACGGGGUCUAAUACCGGAUAUCACUCCUUACUUCAUGGUUUGGGGUUGAAAGUUCUGGCGGUGGGGGAUGGGCUCGCGGCCUAUCAGCUUGUUGGUGGGGUAAUGGCCUACCAAGGCGUCGACGGGUAGCCGGCCUGAGAGGGCGACCGGCCACACUGGGACUGAGACACGGCCCAGACUCCUACGGGAGGCAGCAGUGGGGAAUAUUGCGCAAUGGACGGAAGUCUGACGCAGCAACGCCGCGUGAGGGAUGACGGCCUUCGGGUUGUAAACCUCUUUCAGCAGGGACGAAGCGAGAGUGACGGUACCUGCAGAAGAAGGACCGGCCAACUACGUGCCAGCAGCCGCGGUAAUACGUAGGGUCCGAGCGUUGUCCGGAAUUAUUGGGCGUAAAGGGCUCGUAGGCGGUUCGUCGCGUCGGGAGUGAAAACUCGGAGCUCAACUCCGAGCCUGCUUCCGAUACGGGCAGACUAGAGGUAGGCAGGGGAGAGCGGAACUCCU
This 564-nucleotide ribosomal RNA is filed under the name Kribbella sp. 331F09. Its description in RNAcentral is "bacterial SSU rRNA". It matches the Rfam family "Bacterial small subunit ribosomal RNA", at positions 93 to 671 of the family's 1533-position model. The record is from RNAcentral. Lineage: Bacteria; Bacillati; Actinomycetota; Actinomycetes; Propionibacteriales; Kribbellaceae.